RNAcentral lists this long non-coding RNA (1935 nucleotides) under Pan troglodytes (chimpanzee). RNAcentral describes it as "long non-coding RNA NONPTRT008087". Lineage: Eukaryota; Metazoa; Chordata; Mammalia; Primates; Hominidae. The record is from RNAcentral.
CUAAAAUGCAGCAGGUUGGGCGCAGGAGGCCACCCCUAUUCAGCGCGCGCCCGCGCGCGCGAACACGCAGCGCCCGCUCCGCGCGGGGACCCGCCGCCAGCGAUGGCGCUUCCGCGGGAUUAGAACGGGCAAAAUCCCCCUUCGCGGAGCUCGCUCCGGGUCACCCUCAAGGUCACGCCCACGGACCACGCCCGAGGCCCGGCUCGUACAGAUCGGAGCGUCUGGAUACCGCGGUCCCGGUUCCCUCCUCAGAAUUUCCAGGCCCGGCUCGGACUCUUGGUUACCUCCCCGGCCUCCCCACCCGGUUCCGCGUCCUUAGACAGCUCUCCCGGAACGGAGCUCCCAGUGCCCUCCUUGGCCUCCUCAGCACCCCUGGCACCCACCAAGCCUCACCCCCGGCCCAGGGUGAGUCGUCUGCGCCUGCGCACUCGCGCGUGGGCCUGAGCUCCCAGGAGUCUCCGGGGCGGCCCGUUAGGCGCCGCGCGGUGCUAGCUGCCGGCGCUCCCCUCCGUUUGCACCCACGCCCGCCCUAUUGCGGCUGGCACUACGCUUCUGCCAGGACCCCGGCUCCCUUUUCCGUUGACCUGGUGUUCGUUUUCCAUGUGUUGCUGAGAGGUGGAUGUUAAAAAUCAACACCAGGACUACAGUAAGGCUGAAAUCAUUGAAGUGCUUGGAGUGCAGAACUGAAAGAGGUACUUACUAACUUUUAGGGCUGUGUAAGUGUAGUGUUGUUUGAAGCUCUGUGUGUGUUUCUGUAAAGACUGGUCUGGAAAACUGACCAGAGGAAAACAUUUCCUUGCUUUUCCUCUGCUCUCACAUGAAAACAACAAACACAGUAAGAGUCAACACCAAAGACUUCAAUGACCCCCAGAUAUGUGGGGAUUUCCCCCUACCAGCAAGCAAGCAAUCAGUUCUAACUGCGUAUCCUCCAAUUUAAUUCUGACACUAUCUGCCUGGAAAUAGCAUCAGAUCCCUCAGGUUGAGGGCUUAGUCCCCAAGACUGCCAUCCCUUCAGACACCAGUUGCAAGUCUGGGCCUCUAGAACUUCUGACCAGCUGGGCUUCAAGUUGGCAUUCCCAGACAUUUACAGUGGCUCAUGGCUGGAGGAUCACUUGAGGCCAAGAGUUCAAGACCAGCCUGGGCAACAGAGUGAGACCUGUCUCAAGAAAAUAAAAAGUAAAAUUAGCUGUGCCUGGAGGUACAAGCCUGUGUAGUCCUAGCUACUUGGGAGGCUGAGGUGAAAGGCUCACUUGAGCCCAGGAAUUCAAGGUUACAGUGAGCAGUGAUCUGUGCCAUUGCACUCCAGCCUGGGCGACAGAGCGUGAUCCUGUCUUAAAAAAAAAAAGAAAAAAAAAAAGAUGGGGUUCUCACAACCCCCUCUUUGGGUUCAAUUAAUUUGCUGAAGUGCUCACAGAACUCAGGGAAACACUUAUGUUUGCUGGUUUAUUAUAAAGGAUAUUACAAAGGAUACAAUUGAAGAGAUUCGUUGGGCAAGGUAUGGGGAAGGGGCAUAUUGUUGGAGGCACAGAAUAGGCAAGACUUCAGAGAAAGUUUCUCUUCUCUCCCCACUUCUUGCUGCCAUUGUCUGUUAGGUUUGAUCCACAAUGGAUGGAUCUCAUUCUACUUUUCCAUUUCCCUAAUAUUUGUCAUGGCCCCUUUGAAUCUUGCCAUUCACUGUUCUGAUUUUCACAGUGCUGGGGGUCAUCAGUAUGUUCCUGAGGUGGAAUAGCACUCAUUUCAGAACAAGGAUGACAGAGGUGUGGGGUGCAAACAUACACUUAGGGAACAGGGCAGACCAAGUGAAUGACAACUCUCUUUCCAUCACACCUAUCCUCAAAUCAUGAGAUACUUAUCCACUUUUACCUCUGAAUACAGGACUGUGGUUCUCCUAUGCAAAGACAGCAGGGAGUGGACACUAGAAGGGUAAAACAACGC